Molecule: long non-coding RNA, 759 nt
Organism: Belonocnema kinseyi
Lineage: Eukaryota; Metazoa; Arthropoda; Insecta; Hymenoptera; Cynipidae
Exons: 3
Source: RefSeq, a predicted model, not a curated record
UUUUGAUAAAAAAAAGCGGAAGAAGUAAAAAAUAAAGACAUUGUAAAUAAUUACACAAAGUUGAUGGCCACUCGUAAAGUUAUGGAAGUUUCUGCUUCUACUGGAAAUUUAAAUAACAAACGAUUUAGACUCUGAUGACACCUUCAUACUUGACACUAGCAACAGUAACUUUAUUGAUUCAUUAACAGACUCAAAUGCUAUUGUAAGUGGAACAAAGAUUACGAGUAUAGAAACUAUUCCCGAAAUUGCAAGUGCAUCAAAUACAAGAAUCUCAGAAUUAAUAAAUCUGACAGCACAAAGUGCACCAAGAUCUUCAAUUCGAAGACAUUCUGCACCAUUUGAUGCAAGGCCCAAGGAAGAUCAAGUCUCAGGUCGGCAGCAAAUUGAAAGAAGAGCCUCUCUCGCAUCUCUUAGUUCAAGAAGAGCAGACAUUGAAAAUGAUGCUUUUAUACACGUUCCAAAACGUUUCGAAAUACCUGAGGAUUGGAUCAACCUUUAUGAAAAUACUUCGAUUCAUGCUGACAUUUGGGACAUGAUGAAAACUUAUUCUGACUCAAGGUUUGUUCGGGAAAUAGCUCAAAAGUUAUGGGGCACGGACGUUCUUCAAAUGAGAUGCUUAAAUGCUCAGAGAGCAAAUAACGGAAAGGAAAAUGCCCCCGAGGAAUACAGAUUGCCUUUAACUCCUGAAAAAUUUGAAGUAGUAAAAGGUAAGAUAAUAUUUUCGAAAAUUUAAAAGUAAUUUCCAAAAAAUAUGAGUUU